RNAcentral lists this ribosomal RNA (481 nucleotides) under uncultured bacterium. RNAcentral describes it as "bacterial SSU rRNA". It matches the Rfam family "Bacterial small subunit ribosomal RNA", at positions 338 to 828 of the family's 1533-position model. The record is from RNAcentral.
CCUACGGGAGGCAGCAGUAAGGAAUAUUGGACAAUGGUCGCAAGACUGAUCCAGCCAUGCCGCGUGCAGGAUGAAUGCCCUAUGGGUUGUAAACUGCUUUUAUACGGGAAUAAACCUGGGUACGUGUACCCAGCUGAAUGUACUGUAAGAAUAAGGGUCGGCUAACUUCGUGCCAGCAGCCGCGGUAAGACGAAGGACCCAAGCGUUAUCCGGAUUCAUUGGGUUUAAAGGGUGCGUAGGCGGGUUGAUAAGUCAGUGGUGAAAGCCCAACGCUUAACGUUGGAACUGCCAUUGAUACUGUCGAUCUUGAAUGUGUUUGAUGUGGGCGGAAUAUGACAUGUAGCGGUGAAAUGCUUAGAUAUGUCAUAGAACACCGAUUGCGAAGGCAGCUCACAAAGCCACUAUUGACGCUGAGCACGAAGACGUGGGAGUACAACAGAUAGUAUACCUACGUAGUACCGACCGACCGUAACCUUACGUA